RNAcentral lists this ribosomal RNA (254 nucleotides) under uncultured bacterium. RNAcentral's name for it is "partial 16S ribosomal RNA". It matches the Rfam family "Bacterial small subunit ribosomal RNA", at positions 524 to 776 of the family's 1533-position model. The record is from RNAcentral.
UACGAAGGGGGCUAGCGUUGCUCGGAAUUACUGGGCGUAAAGGGAGCGUAGGCGGAUAGUUUAGUCAGAGGUGAAAGCCCAGGGCUCAACCUUGGAAUUGCCUUUAAUACUGGCGGCCUUGAGUAUGGCAGAGGUGUGUGGAACUCCGAGUGUAGAGGUGAAAAUUCGUAGAUAUUCGGAAGAACACCAGUGGCGAAGGCGACACACUGGGCCAUUACUGACGCUGAGGCGCGAAAGCGUGGGGAGCAAACAGG